This is a long non-coding RNA of Python bivittatus (Burmese python), 967 nucleotides long. RefSeq lists it as uncharacterized. The record is from RefSeq and is a predicted model, not a curated record. Lineage: Eukaryota; Metazoa; Chordata; Lepidosauria; Squamata; Pythonidae.
UUAAGGCGCAGUUAUUCCGCAAUAAAAUCCCCCGCAGCUGAGCUGUAAUUAACUGUGAAUAAGAGGGGCAGCUUAACACUUCUGUUUAAAUUAUUGAAAUAGAAAAAUGCCCAGAUUGAUGGGGCUUAGUGUGCACGUGUGUGUAUAUUUAUGCAAAGUGGUGGAAUCGUAUUUGAUCCCGCCGAGAUUUAUGGGCAUUAUUGUUGUUAACUUAUUCUUUUGUUAGCUUUUAAUCUGCUUUUUUCUUUCUUUCUUUCUUUGUUUUGUGUUUUAUCUCUGGCAGUUUGGAUACUCUGAGCCGGACACUGUUCCCGAAGAGAACACUGGGGAGUCGUUUAAGAAGCAAAUGCCGUUUUCUUCCUGCACGCUGGCUACUGACCGCGCAUCUGAAGUCCUCGAAUCACAACAGGAUUUGCACACUUUACGCUCACAGCCACAACAGGUGUGAAACGGCUGACUUGGGAGAGUGCCAUUCCGGAUAGGUGGCGAGUCAGCUGAAGGCGGAGAAAUCAUUAACAAAAGCCACCGCUUUGGAUCAGCUGAAAAGGUGGACGUGUCUCAACGAUUCUGUAUAUUUGUUGGUGAGCAUAACAACCCGAAGAUAGGAUGAAGUACAAUCAUAAAUGGGACAGUCCUAAUAAAAUCAGAAAAAAUAGAGAAUAAUGAAUAAAUGAGUGACCUUUGUAAAAACUCCAAGUAUAUCCCUAAAGUGUUACUGUAGAACCAAGCUCAGUCCUUUAACAUAUUAUUAAAUUCUGGGAGUUGAAGUCCACCUCUCUGAAAGUCGCUAAGGUUGAGAAACACUGAUAGUGAAUAUAUAAUAAAAUGAAAAAAUGAAAGGAGAGCCUACAUGAAGAUAUUUCUUUUACAAUAAUAGUUCCGAUCUUAAGAUAAAUUACUUGUUAUUAAAAUCUCCAUUGUGUUGUUGCAUGGUGUAUAUGUAUGUGUGUGUGUGUGUGUGUGUGUG